RNAcentral lists this unclassified non-coding RNA (302 nucleotides) under Hevea brasiliensis (rubber tree). Lineage: Eukaryota; Viridiplantae; Streptophyta; Magnoliopsida; Malpighiales; Euphorbiaceae. The record is from RNAcentral.
GUUUGUAGCUCUAUACAUGCUGAUCAUAUGAACAUAUGUUAUAUUUUGUGGGAUAUUUGUUAGUUUGAAACUUGAUUAUUGUUUUGUUGAUUGAUUGAUUUAUUUUUAUUUUCCUUCCCUUUUUGUUUUCUAGAGCUGAAUUUUGAUGGAAAAUUGAGAUGUUGAUAGAUGAUGAGAAAGGGCAUUGAUGCAUAGUGUAGCACAUAUGAUUGAUACCAAUUGAAUUGAUUGCUUGAGAUGGGAUUGGAAGCUUAGCUUCUCCCAAAUCCAUAGUGUUACAAUGUUUAUGCAUGUUUAGAGAG